Molecule: ribosomal RNA, 252 nt
Filed under: uncultured bacterium
Lineage: Bacteria
Description: partial 16S ribosomal RNA
Rfam family: Bacterial small subunit ribosomal RNA
Source: RNAcentral
UACGUAGGUGGCAAGCGUUGUCCGGAUUUACUGGGCGUAAAGGAUGCGUAGGCGGACAUUUAAGUCAGAUGUGAAAUACCCGAGCUUAACUUGGGUGCUGCAUUUGAACUGGGUGUCUAGAGUGCAGGAGAGGUAAGUGGAAUUCCUAGUGUAGCGGUGAAAUGCGUAGAGAUUAGGAAGAACACCAGUGGCGAAGGCGACUUACUGGACUGUAACUGACGCUGAGGCAUGAAAGCGUGGGGAGCAAACAGG